AGCGAACGCUGGCGGCAGGCUUAACACAUGCAAGUCGAGCGGGCACUUCGGUGUCAGCGGCAGACGGGUGAGUAACACGUGGGAACGUACCCUUCGGUUCGGAAUAACGCUGGGAAACUAGCGCUAAUACCGGAUACGCCCUUUUGGGGAAAGGUUUACUGCCGAAGGAUCGGCCCGCGUCUGAUUAGCUAGUUGGUGGGGUAAUGGCCUACCAAGGCGACGAUCAGUAGCUGGUCUGAGAGGAUGAUCAGCCACACUGGGACUGAGACACGGCCCAGACUCCUACGGGAGGCAGCAGUGGGGAAUAUUAGACAAUGGGCGCAAGCCUGAUCCAGCCAUGCCGCGUGAGUGAUGAAGGCCUUAGGGUUGUAAAGCUCUUUUGUCCGGGACGAUAAUGACGGUACCGGAAGAAUAAGCCCCGGCUAACUUCGUG
RNAcentral lists this ribosomal RNA (433 nucleotides) under uncultured bacterium. Its description in RNAcentral is "partial 16S ribosomal RNA". It matches the Rfam family "Bacterial small subunit ribosomal RNA", at positions 29 to 507 of the family's 1533-position model. The record is from RNAcentral.